Molecule: transfer RNA, 71 nt
Filed under: Loxodonta africana (African savanna elephant)
Lineage: Eukaryota; Metazoa; Chordata; Mammalia; Proboscidea; Elephantidae
Rfam family: tRNA
About the family: Transfer RNA (tRNA) molecules are approximately 80 nucleotides in length. Their secondary structure includes four short double-helical elements and three loops (D, anti-codon, and T loops).
Source: Rfam by way of RNAcentral
GCAGUGGUGGUUCGGUGGUAGAAUUCUCACCUUCCGUGCAGGAGACCCAGGUUUAAUUCCUGGCCAGUACA